RNAcentral lists this unclassified non-coding RNA (645 nucleotides) under Pomacea canaliculata. RNAcentral's name for it is "uncharacterized LOC112556240, transcript variant X3". The record is from RNAcentral. Lineage: Eukaryota; Metazoa; Mollusca; Gastropoda; Architaenioglossa; Ampullariidae.
UACAGACAGUGAGAAUCUAAUGACGACGUCUGUCGAGGUUAACAUCGCCGUUACUGACUUUAAACGCAAGUAGACAAAAGCACAAGAUCUUAAACCAAGCGGUCUACCAAUCACGAUGACUAAACAAACACGGUUGUACCUAGCUGUCGUCUGUUUGCUGCUUUUCAUAACACUGGAAGCGAGACACAUCCACCAUCACCAUCACCGUCUGGCUCAAUCAUGCGUCAAAACCGGCUACCCAUGUGACGUGUCUCCUUGUUGCUUCCAAGAUGACGUGUGUGCUGUUGCUCACGACGUCAAAACAAAAGCUAAACGUGUCUGCAAGCGACGUUCCAUGAAGAUUACACCAAGAAGGUAGAUGGACGGACCUUCUCAGAAUACAAACGGACUAAUGUCACCUGCUACCAAUGAGUAUUGGAUGCUGGAUGUACCCAAUAGUAACAACAACAGGGUGCGUCUGCCUACUGUCCGAUUCUGGGAUGUCAACUAAUAAUAGGAAGUCAUCGCACGAGUAUAAGAUCACUGAUUUCAAGGGUGUCUCUAAAUUUAUUGUAUUUUCAUGCAUUUAAAGAAUUUUUCUGUAUUUCUCAAUUGCUGUGUUUGUUCAAGAAAUUCAACAAUAAAAUAAAUUCCACUAACAGCAAA